GAUUUCUGGCUUGAAACAUUUUGCCGGCCACGGUUUCGUGUGUUAGUGCUUGAUGUUCUGGCCAUCCUUCCAAUUGUCAUUCACUUCUCUUCAUUGAUUGGUGAGUGGUAUUGGAUCUUUUACUUUGAAAAAAUUAGAGUGUUUCAAGCAGGCUUUAUGCUAUGAAUACAUUAGCAUGGAAUAAUAAUUUAGGACUUCGGUUCUAUUUUGUUGGUUUCUAGGACUGAAGUAAUGAUUGAUAGGGAUAGUUGGGGGUGCUAGUAUUCAGCGGCCAGAGGUGAAAUUCUCGGAUUCGCUGAAGACUAACUUAUGCGAAAGCAUU
Molecule: ribosomal RNA, 322 nt
Filed under: uncultured Sandonidae
Lineage: Eukaryota; Cercozoa; Glissomonadida; Viridiraptoridae
Description: SSU rRNA
Rfam family: Eukaryotic small subunit ribosomal RNA (bases 112-322)
Source: RNAcentral